Molecule: ribosomal RNA, 1386 nt
Filed under: metagenome
Description: bacterial SSU rRNA
Rfam family: Bacterial small subunit ribosomal RNA
Source: RNAcentral
AGAGUUUGAUCCUGGCUCAGGACGAACGCUGGCGGCGUGCCUAACACAUGCAAGUCGAGCGGAGACAGUGAGUAGCUUGCUAUGAGCUGUUUUAGCGGCGGACGGGUGAGUAACGCGUGAGCAACCUUUCCCAGACAGGGGAAUAACACACCGAACGACUGCUAAUACCGCAUGAGCCCACGGGUCGGCAUCGACCAGAGGGAAAAGGAGCAAUCCGCUUUGAGAUGGCCUCGCGUCCGAUUAGCUAGUUGGUGGGGUAACGGCCCACCAAGGCAACGACCGGUAGCCGGACUGAGAGGUUGAACGGCCACAUUGGGACUGAGACACGGCCCAGACUCCUACGGGAGGCAGCAGUGGGGAAUAUUGCACAAUGGGGGAAACCCUGAUGCAGCGACGCCGCGUGGAGGAAGAAGGUCUUCGGGUUGUAAACUCCUGUUGUUGAGGAAGAUAAUGACGGUACUCAACAAGGAAGUGACGGCUAACUACGUGCCAGCAGCCGCGGUAAAACGUAGGUCACAAGCGUUGUCCGGAAUUACUGGGUGUAAAGGGAGCGCAGGCGGGAAGACAAGUUGGAAGUGAAAUCCAUGGGCUCAACCCAUGAACUGCUUUCAAAACUGUUUUUCUUGAGUAGUGCAGAGGUAGGCGGAAUUCCCGGUGUAGCGGUGGAAUGCGUAGAUAUCGGGAGGAACACCAGUGGCGAAGGCGGCCUACUGGGCACCAACUGACGCUGAGGCUCGAAAGUGUGGGUAGCAAACAGGAUUAGAUACCCUGGUAGUCCACACCGUAAACGAUGAUUACUAGGUGUUGGAGGAUUGACCCCUUCAGUGCCGCAGUUAACACAAUAAGUAAUCCACCUGGGGAGUACGACCGCAAGGUUGAAACUCAAAGGAAUUGACGGGGGCCCGCACAAGCAGUGGAGUAUGUGGUUUAAUUCGACGCAACGCGAAGAACCUUACCAAGUCUUGACAUCCUGCGACGAUGCUGGAAACAGUAUUUUCCUUCGGGACGCAGAGACAGGUGGUGCAUGGUUGUCGUCAGCUCGUGUCGUGAGAUGUUGGGUUAAGUCCCGCAACGAGCGCAACCCUUAUGGUCAGUUACUACGCAAGAGGACUCUGGCCAGACUGCCGUUGACAAAACGGAGGAAGGUGGGGAUGACGUCAAAUCAUCAUGCCCUUUAUGACUUGGGCUACACACGUACUACAAUGGCGUUAAACAAAGAGAAGCAAGACCGCGAGGUGGAGCAAAACUCAGAAACAACGUCCCAGUUCGGACUGCAGGCUGCAACUCGCCUGCACGAAGUCGGAAUUGCUAGUAAUCGUGGAUCAGCAUGCCACGGUGAAUACGUUCCCGGGCCUUGUACACACCGCCCGUCACACCAUGAGAGCC